GUGGGGAAUUUUAGACAAUGGGGGCAACCCUGAUCCAGCAAUGCCGCGUGCAGGAAGAAGGCCUUCGGGUUGUAAACUGCUUUUGUACGGAACGAAAAGGCUCUGGUUAAUACCUGGGGCACAUGACGGUACCGUAAGAAUAAGCACCGGCUAACUACGUGCCAGCAGCCGCGGUAAUACGUAGGGUGCAAGCGUUAAUCGGAAUUACUGGGCGUAAAGCGUGCGCAGGCGGUGCUGUAAGACAGGCGUGAAAUCCCCGGGCUUAAACUGGGAAUGGCGCUUGUGACUGCAGUGCUGGAGUGUGGCAGAGGGGGAUGGAAUUCCGCGUGUAGCAGUGAAAUGCGUAGAUAUGCGGAGGAACACCGAUGGCGAAGGCAAUCCCCUGGGCCUGCACUGACGCUCAUGCACGAAAGCGUGGGGAGCAAACAGGAUUAGAAACCCCUGUAGUCC
Molecule: ribosomal RNA, 450 nt
Filed under: uncultured bacterium
Lineage: Bacteria
Description: partial 16S ribosomal RNA
Rfam family: Bacterial small subunit ribosomal RNA
Source: RNAcentral